RNAcentral lists this ribosomal RNA (258 nucleotides) under uncultured bacterium. Its description in RNAcentral is "partial 16S ribosomal RNA". It matches the Rfam family "Bacterial small subunit ribosomal RNA", at positions 524 to 776 of the family's 1533-position model. The record is from RNAcentral.
UACGUAGGGGGCAAGCGUUGUCCGGAUUUAUUGGGCGUAAAGAGCGUGUAGGCGGCCAGGUAGGUCCGUUGUGAAAAACUCGAGGCUCAACCUCGAGACGCCGAUGGAAACCAUCUGGCUAGAGUCCGGAAGAGGAGAGUGGAAAUUCCUGGUGUAGCGGUGAAAUGCGUAGAUAUCUGGAGGAACACCGGUGGCGAAGGCGACGUCCUGGACCCGGCAGUUGACGCUGAGACGCGAAAGCCAGGGGGAGCAAACGGG